UACACAUGCAGUCGAGGGGUAUUGGUUUUCGGACCAAGAGACCGGCGCACGGGUGCGUAACGCGUAUGCAAUCUACCUUUCACAGAGGGAUAGCCCAGAGAAAUUUGGAUUAAUACCUCAUAGUAUAUAGGAAUGGCAUCAUUUUUAUAUUAAAGUCACAACGGUGAAAGAUGAGCAUGCGUCCCAUUAGCUUGUUGGUAAGGUAACGGCUUACCAAGGCUACGAUGGGUAGGGGUCCUGAGAGGGAGAUCCCCCACACUGGUACUGAGACACGGACCAGACUCCUACGGGAGGCAGCAGUGAGGAAUAUUGGACAAUGGGCGCAAGCCUGAUCCAGCCAUGCCGCGUGCAGGAUGACGGUCCUAUGGAUUGUAAACUGCUUUUGCACAGGAAGAAACAACAUUACGUGUAAUGUCUUGACGGUACUGUGAGAAUAAGGAUCGGCUAACUCCGUGCCAGCAGCCGCGGUAAUACGGAGGAUCCAAGCGUUAUCCGGAAUCAUUGGGUUUAAAGGGUCCGUAGGCGGUCUUAUAAGUCAGUGGUGAAAUCUCCCCGCUCAACGGGGAAACGGCCAUUGAUACUGUAAGACUUGAAUUAUUAGGAAGUAACUAGAAUAUGUAGUGUAGCGGUGAAAUGCUUAGAGAUUACAUGGAAUACCAAUUGCGAAGGCAGGUUACUACUAAUGGAUUGACGCUGAUGGACGAAAGCGUGGGUAGCGAACAGGAUUAGAUACCCUGGUAGUCCACGCCG
Molecule: ribosomal RNA, 750 nt
Filed under: unidentified microorganism
Description: bacterial SSU rRNA
Rfam family: Bacterial small subunit ribosomal RNA
Source: RNAcentral